AUUAAGCCAUGCACGUCUAAGAAUGACAAGUUCAUAUCUUGUAAUCUGCGAACGGCUCAUUAAAUCACUUUUAAUCCAUCCGGUUAUGAACUUUACAUGGAUAACUCUUUGUAAAUCAAGGGCUAAUACAUACUAAAAUUGGGGACUUUUGGGAACCCAUGUAUUUAUUAGAUUCAGAUAUCUUCCCGUGGCUUGCCACGGUUUAAAAGAUGACCCACAAUAACUGGCGAAUCGUAGGAGUAGUCUUACGAUGUUCCGGACGAAAUUGUGCCCUAUCAAGUUUCGAUGGUAGUGUAGAGGACUACCAUGCUAGUAACGGGUACGGGGAAUUAGGGUUCGGUUCCGGAGAGGGCGCCUGAGAAAUGGCGACCACUUCUAAGGAAGGCAGCAGGCGCGUAAAUUACCCAAUCGCAAUUCGCGGAGGUAGUGACAAGAAAUAACAAUACGGAAAUCCAAUGGAUUACUGUAAUUGGAAUGAGAACAAUUUAAAACACUUAACGAGUAACAAUUGGAGGGCAAGUCUGGUGCCAGCAGCCGCGGUAAUUCCAGCUCCAAGAGCGUAUAUUAAUGUUGCUGCAGUUAAAACGCUCGUAGUUGGAUCUUGGAGAAUGGUUUGAGCUCUGUCCGCCUGAAGGCGUGUAUGGACUCUACCUCUCUAUAAUUUGGUGACAACGUACUUGAGACCUUAAGUGGUAUUCAAGUCUAGAGGAGGGUGUAAAAGCUCAAGUCUAGGGGUUUGUUUGGUAUAUGGAGGUGGCAACAUUUCGGUGUUGCUGUUUCCUAAUCAGACAGGAUCAAUGUUUCACCUAUUUUACUUUGAAAAAAAUAGAGUGCUCAAAGCAGGCCUUAUGGCCGUUGAAUACAUUAGCAUGGGAUAAUAGAAUAUGAAGUUGGUGUAUUUUUGUUGGUAUCUAUACGCUAAUUUAAUGAUUAAAAGGGAACGUCGGGGCAGUUUGUAUUGUCACGUCAGAGGUGAAAUUCUUGGAUUGUGACAAGACAAACUACUGCGAAAGCAAUCUGCUAGGAGUUUUCCAUUAAUCAAGAACGAAAGUUGGGGGAUCGAAGACGAUCAGAUACCGUCGUAGUCUCAACCAUAAACGAUGCCGACUUAGGAUUGGAGAGUGUUUAUUUCUAAUGACUUCCCCAGCACUAUACUGAGAAAUCACAAGUCUUUGGGUUCCGGGGGGAGUAUGGUCGCAAGGCUGAAACUUAAAGGAAUUGACGGAAGGGCACCACCAGGCGUGGAGCCUGCGGCUUAAUUUGACUCAACACGGGGAAACUUACCAGGUCCGGACAACGUUAGGAUUGACAGAUUGAUAGCUCUUUCUUGAUUCGUUGGGUGGUGGUGCAUGGCCGUUCUUAGUUGGUGGUGUGAAUUGUCUGGUUGAUUCCGUUAACGAACGAGACCUUUAUCCUUAAAUAGUCACGGGAAGGCUAGUACGUCAAGGCCACAGGCGAACCAAUUGCCAGAAGGACUAGUUUCCCUGGUGGUUGCCGAUUUGUCUGGGUUGUACUUUUUUCUGGAAGAACUUCUUAAGGAGACUAUACAUGACAAGUGUAUGGAAGUUGGAGGCAAAAACAGGUCUGUGAUGCCCUUCGAUGUUCUGGGCCGCACGCGCGCUACACUGAAAUUAUCAUCGAGUUUACAACCUUGUUCGAAAGGACUGGGUAAUCUUAUGAAACAAUUUCGUGAUAGGGAUAGAUGAUUGCAAUUAUUUGUCUUGAACGAGGAAUGCCUAGUAGGGGCGCUUCAUCAGAGCGUCCCGACUUCGUCCCUGCCCUUUGUACACACCGCCCGUCGCUCCUACCGAUUGGAUGGUCCGGUGAAGAUUUCGGAUCGAGAGUUUAUUCGUGCAGGGU
RNAcentral lists this ribosomal RNA (1860 nucleotides) under uncultured eukaryote. RNAcentral describes it as "SSU rRNA". It matches the Rfam family "Eukaryotic small subunit ribosomal RNA". The record is from RNAcentral.